CUACGGGCCGCAGCAGUGAGGAAUAUUGCACAAUGGGGGGAACCCUGAUGCAGCAACGCCGCGUGGAGGAUGACGCAUUUCGGUGUGUAAACUCCUUUUAUAUGUCAAGAAAAUGACGGUAGCAUAUGAAUAAGCACCGGCUAACUCCGUGCCAGCAGCCGCGGUAAUACGGAGGGUGCAAGCGUUACUCGGAAUCACUGGGCGUAAAGGACGCGUAGGCGGGUUGGAAAGUCAGGUGUGAAAUCCUAGAGCUCAACUGUAGAACUGCACUUGAAACUUCUAAUCUAGAGUAUGGGAGGGGGGGAUGGAAUUAGUGGUGUAGGGGUAAAAUCCGUAGAUAUCACUAGGAAUACCUAAAGCGAAGGCGAUCUCCUGGAACAUUACUGACACUAAGGCGUGAAAGCGUGGGGAGCAAACAGGAUUAGAUACCCGAGUAGUC
RNAcentral lists this ribosomal RNA (439 nucleotides) under uncultured bacterium. Its description in RNAcentral is "partial 16S ribosomal RNA". It matches the Rfam family "Bacterial small subunit ribosomal RNA", at positions 339 to 795 of the family's 1533-position model. The record is from RNAcentral.